GGGUCAGUAGGUUGGUCGUGCCACCGGUACGUACUGGUCUCACUGAUUCCUCCUUUCUGAAGAACCGUAAUGCCAUUAAUUUGGUGUUGCGGGGAAACAGGACUGUUACUUUGAAAAAAUUAGAGUGUUUAAAGCAAGCUAACGCUUGAAUACAUUAGCAUGGAAUAGUGAAAUAGGACGAUCGAUCCUAUUUUGUUGGUUUCUAGGAUUGACGUA
RNAcentral lists this ribosomal RNA (216 nucleotides) under Glomeromycotina sp. RNAcentral's name for it is "partial small subunit ribosomal RNA". The stretch from base 40 to 216 matches the Rfam family "Eukaryotic small subunit ribosomal RNA", at positions 686 to 864 of the family's 1831-position model. The record is from RNAcentral. Lineage: Eukaryota; Fungi; Glomeromycota.